GAUGAACGCUGGCGGCGUGCCUAAUACAUGCAAGUCGAGCGAACGGACGAGGAGCUUGCUCCUCUGACGUUAGCGGCGGACGGGUGAGUAACACGUGGAUAACCUACCUAUAAGACUGGGAUAACUUCGGGAAACCGGAGCUAAUACCGGAUAAUAUAUUGAACCGCAUGGUUCAAUAGUGAAAGACGGUUUUGCUGUCACUUAUAGAUGGAUCCGCGCGGCAUUAGCUAGUUGGUAAGGUAACGGCUUACCAAGGCAACGAUGCGUAGCCGACCUGAGAGGGGAACCGCCACAACGGGAACGAGACACCGGUCCAGACCCCUAGGGAAGCAAGCAGUGGGAAACCUUCCGAAUGGGCGGAAAGCUGAACGGGGCAAGGCGGCUGGGGUGAGGAAGGUCUCCGGUCCGUAAAACUUGUUAAUAAGGAAAGAAAUAAGGGGUAAGAAACGAUGAAAGUCUGAACGGUACUAAUCAAAAAAGCCACGGCAAACUACGU
RNAcentral lists this ribosomal RNA (496 nucleotides) under uncultured bacterium. RNAcentral describes it as "partial 16S ribosomal RNA". It matches the Rfam family "Bacterial small subunit ribosomal RNA", at positions 28 to 506 of the family's 1533-position model. The record is from RNAcentral.